GUUAAGUUAAAGUGAGGUCAUUAGGGUGGACCCCUUAAUCCAUGAUGACUAAUCCAAUACAAUGUCCUGGUAAUAGGGAGAGAUUUAGACAAAGAGACACAUAGGCACACAGGCAGAAUGCCCUGUGAAGAUGAAGGUGGAGAUUGCGAUAGGGCUUCUAUAAGCCAAGAAAUGCCAAGAAUUGCCAGCAAACCACCAGAAGUUAGGGGAGAGGCACAGCUUCUUCCCCAGAGCUCUCAGAAGGAACCAGCCCUGUGGACAUCUUGAUCUCAGACUUUAAGGCUCCGGAACUAACGUGGCUGCCAGGUGGGCAACGACUUUGCUCCUUUCUUUCAUUGCUGUGAACAUUGCCAACAACAGUACUUGGCACAUAAUACCUGCCCAGUAAAUGCUACAUGGAUGAAUAAUGAAUACACAUAUGAAUGAAUUGACUUUCUUUACAGGUAGCCUGACUACAAAUUGCAGAGACCAGGCAGACCUGGGCAACCCCAAACAGAAGUCGUGUCAUCUGGCUUUGGCAACUUCCUCUCCUCUGUGACUGUGAGAACAGAAAUAGAGACUCACAGACUCUCGGAGUAGAUGGGAACUUAGAGGUCAGUGGGCCUGGACUUCCUCAAUGCUGCCAGUCAGUUGAUAUGCCUAUAGAACACCUACUCUGUGCCAGAUGCUGGAAUGGGUGCUGGAAGGGGUAGGACCAAGGUGCUGAACAAGACACUCUGGCUAACCCCGUGUAGGAAGGCAGGGAGGCAGAUAAGAGGUUGGGAUGCCCAGAUAAAUAUAGUGAGGUUGAACG
Mirounga angustirostris (Northern elephant seal) is the source of this 793-nucleotide long non-coding RNA. RefSeq lists it as uncharacterized. The transcript is spliced from 3 exons. The record is from RefSeq and is a predicted model, not a curated record. NCBI's taxonomy places the organism in Eukaryota, Metazoa, Chordata, Mammalia, Carnivora, Phocidae.